UGCCUCCGAGCAAGUGAGGGCUAUAAAUAGCGCAGAGAAAACGUAGCGCCCAAACAAAAUUCAGAUUGUGGAUUUUGCGAGAAGCCGACUAGUUGUAACCAGCAAUAGAUACCAAAAAUGGGGUGGGUUUGGACAGACGACGAGCCAGACGAGCUCAAGUCGUCGUCGCCUGGUGAUGAAAUUAGCGAAUAUUGGAAAAGCCCUGAUUCAUCCUCUGGGAAGGUGUGCUCUACGAGGAAGGUGGUGAAGUCGCAGUGCAAGACGGAGGAGGUGGAGCGUGGAAAGUUCGUCAGGAAAUGCGAGAAAACUGAAGAGAUUCUCAGAGUGCCUUGGAGAGCCUGUCAAGGUCCUGAAGUCCAACAAGGAGUAUACUGAAGACGAUGUCACAGACGUGGUGGUUAAAGGGUCUUCCUCAGUUGGGCAAUUUGAUAACUCACCAUUUGGCUUUCCAGGUCUUCGAAGUGAUAUUGAAGGUAUCGAGCAUCACUUCCUCGAUGGCAUCAACCGAUUUUUUGAAGCAGCCGAACAGAUGAGGAGUAGCUUUUUCGAUGUUUUUGGGAACUCGUAUAAGGAGAAUCCAUCAUCCUCACCAUCUGUGAGGCGAGGGAUACCCAUUGAAGACUAUCCUCAAAAAAGAGAAGCCUCUCCUAAACAAAGGGAGCCUGAUUCUGGUGAUUUUGAUCUUUCUGGUUUGACCAGAGACGUCUGGAUUAGUUUGCUGAUAAAUUGCCAUAGUUUAAUAGAAUUUUGUUGUUCCCAUGUUUUUAUAUGACUAGUGAAAUAUAGACUGCCGAACUAAAGUUUAUGUGCUGGAAUCUAAAGUCGGCUCUUGAAUGUAGGAGCAUGAAUUUGAUUGUCAUUGCUAAGUUGAGAUUAAGGAUGAUGACAGUUCGGUUAA
This is an RNA transcript of Hevea brasiliensis (rubber tree), 898 nucleotides long. It is a transcript of the gene named fra a 1-associated protein, with no coding region annotated. The record is from RefSeq and is a predicted model, not a curated record. NCBI's taxonomy places the organism in Eukaryota, Viridiplantae, Streptophyta, Magnoliopsida, Malpighiales, Euphorbiaceae. The transcript has 2 exons.